CCUUAGAGAAAUAAAGACAAUAUCACAUCUGAAAUCAUAUUUAUUGUAUGUAUGUACUAUUUUCCUCAGUGAACACUGAAGACUCAUGGAAUCCGGACAAGAUGUAUGGAGGUUCACAUCGACAGUCAGCUACGGACUCCUUGUU
Molecule: long non-coding RNA, 145 nt
Organism: Haliotis rubra (blacklip abalone)
Lineage: Eukaryota; Metazoa; Mollusca; Gastropoda; Lepetellida; Haliotidae
Exons: 2
Source: RefSeq, a predicted model, not a curated record